RNAcentral lists this ribosomal RNA (253 nucleotides) under uncultured bacterium. RNAcentral's name for it is "partial 16S ribosomal RNA". It matches the Rfam family "Bacterial small subunit ribosomal RNA", at positions 524 to 776 of the family's 1533-position model. The record is from RNAcentral.
UACAGAGGUGGCAAGCGUUGUUCGGAAUUACUGGGCGUAAAGGGCGCGUAGGCGGCCUGGUCAGUCGGAUGUGAAAGCCCGGGGCUCAACCCCGGAACGGCAUCCGAGACGGCCAGGCUGGAGACCGGGAGAGGAGAGUGGAAUAGCCAGUGUAGAGGUGAAAUUCGUAGAUAUUGGCUGGAACACCGGUGGCGAAAGCGGCUCUCUGGCCCGGUUCUGACGCUGAGGCGCGAAAGCGUGGGGAGCAAACGGG